UUAAGAGUUAAAAAGAUCUGACCAAUGAGAUGCGAUCCAACAAACAAGAAUGUUAUAUAGAAAACCCAUUUUACCUUUGGACAUUGAAUCAAGCAAUAGUCAGCAAGCAAUUAGAAACAUCAAGCAAGGCAUCAAAUAAAGAUGGCCAUAUCCAAACAAGAAAAUCCCAUAGCUAUUAGUCUCUCUGUCUUCUUAUGCACCAG
RNAcentral lists this long non-coding RNA (203 nucleotides) under Lathyrus oleraceus (garden pea). RNAcentral's name for it is "Pisum sativum (pea) long non-coding RNA (PSAT_LNC011403)". The record is from RNAcentral. Lineage: Eukaryota; Viridiplantae; Streptophyta; Magnoliopsida; Fabales; Fabaceae.